AAUUGUCAUAGCUCGACAACAGUUUGAAAGGCAGACUUGGAAACACUCACACUUCCCUUUCCUUUGUCUAUGCUUGGUCUGUCAUGGAAGUAAAAUUGCAGAAUAGCCCAUCAUGAUUGGGGUGAGUUUAUAAGAUUUCGCCGGAUUGGCUGCACAUUGGAGAAGACUAUGGGUAUUCGUUUCAAAAUCUCACCAGGUACUAGCUGAAUGUAAGGUUGCUGUCAAGAGGAAUUUGUUGAGAGGAUCAUGGCUGCAUGCAAGCAAGCUGAUAUUUUGUUGUUAGA
Long non-coding RNA from Lolium rigidum, 284 nucleotides. RefSeq lists it as uncharacterized. The transcript is spliced from 3 exons. NCBI's taxonomy places the organism in Eukaryota, Viridiplantae, Streptophyta, Magnoliopsida, Poales, Poaceae. The record is from RefSeq and is a predicted model, not a curated record.